GAAAUUCAUAAAAUACACCGAAAUACAUUGAAAUACGAUAAAAAUAGUGAAUACAAUGAAAUACAUGGAAUACAACGAGAUACACUGAAUUACAAUGAAAAAAGACAAUGAAUACAAUGAAAUACAUGAAAAUGCAGUGUGAUACGUUGAAAAUACACGAAAAUAUAUUAAUAGAAAAUCAAGUUGCUCAACCCAAACUCCAUCGUUUUUGUUCAAGAACCAACCCUAAUUUCCGGCGAAUCCGCCGUCGAGCAAAUACCCUCAACUCUUUCAAGUUGCCCAGCCCCAAAUUCCGUUGUCUUUGUUCAAGAACAAUCCUAACGUCGUCUCAUCAAGAGGGCCGCGAUUCUAACUCGAAACUCUCAAAAUUUGAAGCAUAGUUGGUCUUGAAGAUCUUUGCCCCUGCUGCUUCGUUCAUCGGUGGUGCCUCUGUGAAACAUGUCAUUUUUUGAAUUUGGGGCUUUUUUCUGAUUUUUUAAAAGUAGAAAGCAAGAAGAAGGAGAAAGCUUAUAGGUUUUUGGUGGUGUAUAAGAGAAUAGCAAGGAAGAAAAAGAGGAGAAGAAAUCAGCAAAAAUCUGAAAGAAUUAAAGAGAAAAAUAAUACAAAGAGUAUUUUAUGGCUCAAGGGUAGGAGGUAAUCAUAAAUAGAUAUUUGCCUAUAAAAAUUAAAAGGUAGCUAUGGAAUAUAAAUUUUUUAAAGGGUAUUUAUUUAAAAUAAAUAAAGUAUCAACAUUUGAUAUAGGAGGUAAAAAUUUCAAUUUUUUAGCUCAUAGGUCUAUUUGGGUUGAAGCCAAGUUAAUCCAUCCUUUAUUAUGGCACAUUUUGACCCAUGAAAUAGCUCAAAUACAAUCCAUGAAGCUCAUCCAAAACAAAGGGAUCUCAACCCAACUGAAGGCUUGUCUGAAAAUUUACUUAGUUAUCCCAUCAUUAGUUUAUGUAUCUAAAUUUAAAAUUGAGAAUCAAGAUACUUAAGUUUUAAUGUAAGUAUGAAUAAUUUUGUAACUGAAUUGUGGUGAAAUAACAUAAGAAAUAUUUUUCAACUUACAAAUUUAAACACUAAUUUACUAUUUAAGAAAAUAUAUUUUGAUAAUACUAGUAGUAGUAUUAUUAUUAUUUUUGGAAAAGAGGGAGUACUUCUUAAGUAGGCAGUAGGGCUUUUUCUGUUACAUAGUAAGAACAAAUAAUAAUUACAUAAAUAGAUAUAAAUUAAAGUUUGUACAGAAAAUUAUAUGGGUUGUUUUUCUUUAAAGGAUUUAAUCAACAAAGUUAUCUGAAAAUUUUGUGUAGCUGAAAGGCUCUUUUCUCGAUGAAUUGUUUAUGGAACAAUUGCAACACACAAAAAAAAGGACUUCAACUAGCUAAACAUUUAUCUUUCACAAAUAUUUUCUGAAAUAUUGUCUCUUUUUUUUCAACUGUUAUUUUUUCUUUUUGCUUUUAUUCUUUUUUCUUAUACGCUUUUAAAUAUUAUUUAAUUUUAGAAAGUUAUAAAAGCUUACGAAUAGUUGAGUAUAAGAUUAAUCGAUAUGUGUUUCUUAGCUAAAAGUUUAAAUUAGAUAUAUAUCAAUUCAUCGUCACCGCAGAUAAAUAAAUUGGGAAGAAGCUAAGAAAGUAGGGAGCAUACUUAUGUAUAUAAAGGUAAAAGACUUUAUUUACGUAAGAUGGACAUGGUUUUAAAAUAUGGGUCAAGUUACGCGAGUUUGGCUAUGACCUGUUAUUUAGCUCAUUUUGACCUCACCCAUCUUAGUCCAAGUGCACUUUGGACUGGAUUAGAUAAUGACUCAUUUAUUAACUCAACCCGUCAUAACCCGCACAAAAGUUCAGCCCAACUCGCUCAUUUGCCACUAUAUCUAUUAUGCAUACUGUCACACCUACUUUUUCCGGCACCGCGAGGGUACAAGGGAGUUUUUUCAAUUAAAUGACAAUCGGAACGAGAUUUGGUUAUUAAUUAUUCAGAGUCGCCUCUUGGGAGAUUAAUGGUGUCCCAAGUCACCUAUUCAAUCCCGAACCGAGAAAAAAGAUGACUCUGUUCACAGUCUGCGAACCAAAAUCCGGAUAAAAAAUUUUUUUUAACUCAGGAGAAGAUGUUAGGCAUUUUCGGAUUUCAUGGUUUUAUGAACUGUUGUCUUUAUAUGUCUUUUCCCUUCAACACCAAGUUUGCUUUGAAAUACAAGAUUAUAUAUAAUAGUGUGUUAUUGGCUUUUGGUAAAUCAUAACACCCUCAAUAAGCCAGUUCAAAAUAAGUAAUUUUUUGGAUAUUUUCAUACAGAUUAAGAAACUCACCUUUUAGUAUUAAUUAGCAAUGAAAUUGACCAUAUUAACAUUUACUAUCUCAUAUAAAUAUUUUUAACACAUAUUCCAAUACGAUUUACUCCAAGGACAAUGUAGGAAAAAAAUAAUUAAUUUACUCUUAAAAUCCGAAAAAAUUACUUAUUUUGAAUUACAAAACAAUACCAAAAAAUUAUUUAUUUUGGACCGAAGGAAUUACAAUUUUAAAAACAGAUAUUGUUGUGAUUUACGGAGAAUUUACAGAGAAGCUUUUAGGAAGAAGAAGAAGACAACAUAAUCAUUGAGAGAGAGAUGACGAUAUAUAGUCCAAAAUUCUGUAAAUUCAACUGACUAGUGGAGGCUAAUUAAGUACAUACAUUUAUAUACUAGUAACUCCUAAUUGUGUAAAUUAAUUAACUAGCUUCCUAACUAUUAACGGCUAAUAACAACCUACUGAUACAAGGACUAAAAUAUCCUUAUAUAAUUUAACAUUCCCCCUCAAGUUAGGUGGUGGAAAAAUAUUGAUCACGCCUAGCUUGGAUUUUAAAUAUUCAUGGCUGAAACGAACAAAACAAUGAGAACCAAAAACGGUUAAAGGGUUAAUUGUGUGACA
RNAcentral lists this long non-coding RNA (2877 nucleotides) under Nicotiana benthamiana. RNAcentral's name for it is "long non-coding RNA (NBEN_LNC023494)". The record is from RNAcentral. Lineage: Eukaryota; Viridiplantae; Streptophyta; Magnoliopsida; Solanales; Solanaceae.